This 377-nucleotide ribosomal RNA is filed under the name uncultured bacterium. Its description in RNAcentral is "bacterial SSU rRNA". It matches the Rfam family "Bacterial small subunit ribosomal RNA", at positions 28 to 404 of the family's 1533-position model. The record is from RNAcentral.
GACGAACGCUGGCGGCGUGCUUAACACAUGCAAGUCGAGCGGUAAGGCCCUUUCGGGGGUACACGAGCGGCGAACGGGUGAGUAACACGUGGGUGACCUGCCCUCAGCUCUGGGAGUAAGCCUGGGAAACUGGGUCUAAUACCGGAUAUGACCCCACUGACGCAUGUCGUGGGGUGGAAAGCCUUGUGCGGCUGAGGAUGGGCCCGCGGCCUAUCAGCUUGUUGGUGGGGUGAUGGCCUACCAAGGCGACGACGGGUAGCCGGCCUGAGAGGGCGACCGGCCACACUGGGACUGAGACACGGCCCAGACUCCUACGGGAGGCAGCAGUGGGGAAUCUUGCGCAAUGGGCGAAAGCCUGACGCAGCGACGCCGCGUGA